Long non-coding RNA from Carassius auratus (goldfish), 516 nucleotides. RefSeq lists it as uncharacterized. The record is from RefSeq and is a predicted model, not a curated record. The transcript is spliced from 4 exons. Lineage: Eukaryota; Metazoa; Chordata; Actinopteri; Cypriniformes; Cyprinidae.
CAACCGCUGGGUUAUUUUCUGGGUCGUUUUCACUGAGAGCUGAAUCAAUGCACCCCCUCCCCCACUCGGACGCAAUAACCCAGCUCAUUGGGUCAAAUCAACUCCGCGCAGGAUCAGCGCAGCGCGGGCUGACUGAAUUCGAGGUGGAGGUGGAUGCCACACACACGCUGUAAUAUUUGGAGAAAUAAGACCCGCUCUUGACUGUCCGUGGUGGCAAAUCCACAGCCUUUCGCUGGAGUAGAAUCAACCGUAUCUGAAGAGAGAGCUGAGGAAAUUAAACAAUGGCUGAGAAACAACACACAGCCCAUCAGCCAGGUGGAACAGUACAUCUGGAAAAUAUGUUUGAGGUCCUCCAUGAGUUUCCUCGGCUAACUACCUCAGGCAUGAUUGCACAGGACUUUCACAUUUUACAUCAAGAUGAAGCCCCAAAACUGUUUGAAAAAUGGCUGGUAUACUGACAGGAUCUUGCUUUUUGCGAAGCGAGAAGCAAAGCUUUCAUGUACAGCUGAAGAAAUG